RNAcentral lists this ribosomal RNA (253 nucleotides) under uncultured bacterium. RNAcentral's name for it is "partial 16S ribosomal RNA". It matches the Rfam family "Bacterial small subunit ribosomal RNA", at positions 524 to 776 of the family's 1533-position model. The record is from RNAcentral.
UACGGAGGGGGCUAGCGUUGUUCGGAAUUACUGGGCGUAAAGCGCGCGUAGGCGGCUUUGUAAGUCAGAGGUGAAAUCCUGGAGCUUAACUCCAGAACUGCCUUUGAGACUGCAUCGUUUGAAUCGUGGAGAGGUAAGUGGAAUUCCGAGUGUAGAGGUGAAAUUCGUAGAUAUUCGGAAGAACACCAGUGGCGAAGGCGACUUACUGGACACGUAUUGACGCUGAGGUGCGAAAGCGUGGGGAGCAAACAGG